RNAcentral lists this ribosomal RNA (253 nucleotides) under uncultured bacterium. RNAcentral's name for it is "partial 16S ribosomal RNA". It matches the Rfam family "Bacterial small subunit ribosomal RNA", at positions 524 to 776 of the family's 1533-position model. The record is from RNAcentral.
UACGAAAGGGGCUAGCGGUGUUCGGAAUUACUGGGCGUAAAGCGCACGUAGGCGGCCUUGUAAGUUGGGGGUGAAAUCCCGGAGCUCAACUCCGGAACUGCCUUCAAAACUACAAAGCUAGAGGAUGUGAGAGGAUAGUGGAAUUCCGAGUGUAGAGGUGAAAUUCGUAGAUAUUCGGAAGGACACCGGUGUCGAAGGCGACUGUCUGGCACAUUUCUGACGCUGAGGUGCGAAAGCGUGGGGAGCAAACAGG